This 485-nucleotide ribosomal RNA is filed under the name uncultured bacterium. RNAcentral's name for it is "bacterial SSU rRNA". It matches the Rfam family "Bacterial small subunit ribosomal RNA", at positions 28 to 507 of the family's 1533-position model. The record is from RNAcentral.
GACGAACGCUGGCGGCGUGCUUAACACAUGCAAGUCGAGCGGUAAGGCCCCUUCGGGGGUACACGAGCGGCGAACGGGUGAGUAACACGUGAGCAAUCUGCCCUUCACUUUGGGAUAACUCUGGGAAACGAGAGCUAAUACCGAAUACGACCACUUCAGGCAUCUGAUGGUGGUGGAAAGUUCCGGCGGUGAAGGAUGAGCUCGCGGCCUAUCAGCUAGUUGGUGGAGUAACGGCCCACCAAGGCUUCGACGGGUAGCCGGCCUGAGAGGGUGACCGGCCACACUGGGACUGAGACACGGCCCAGACUCCUACGGGAGGCAGCAGUAGGGAAUAUUGGACAAUGGGCGCAAGCCUGAUCCAGCCAUGCCGCGUGAGUGAAGAAGGCCCUCGGGUUGUAAAGCUCUUUUGUCCGGAAAGAAAAGCGCCGGGUUAAUACCCUGGUGUCCUGACGGUACCGGAAGAAUAAGCACCGGCUAACUUCGUG